UGUAUUUUGUUUGGAUUGUUCAACUACAAGCUUGAUUCUCACUGUUUCUACUACUGUUUUUAGUCUGUAGAUUCUCUAAACUGUUUUUUUCAAAACAAAAAGAAAUAGUAAUCAACUAAACUUUUAGUCUAAAGUUUACAAAAUGGAAAUGUGCUGUGAACUUAACAAUCUACGUGAAAUGGUGGUUCAAUCUAUAAGUCAAGAAUCCAUUAGUCAUUAUGUGUAUCUUUGUGUUUAUCUACCUGUAAGUCAUUAUAUGUAUCUUACUCUUUUGUUGGAACUGUGGAAUGACUUUAAUUUCAUUUGAUAAUGCAGGUUAGUCAUUUUGAUCAAGUUUUUGUUUUUUUUAUUUAUGUUUGUGUCUGUUGGUCUUGUGGCACAGCGUUGAAAUAACAGUAAGUCAUUGUAUGUAUAUUUGUGAGUUGUUCCAACUAGGCUGCAAGCAAUCAUUGUAGGAGUUGGAAGUUACUGGAAGAGAAAAGAUGAAGUUUGUAGAGUAAGAUAACAAUUGACAGAUGACUUAAAAGAUUGCAAAUUAUAUGAAACAGGGAAGCAAGAUAAAGGUAGCGAAUUCCAAAGAACUGAUGUUCGAGGAAAAAAAUAGAAGAAUAAGAGUUUUUGGAGCACUUAGAAACAGCCACAAGAGAAUGAAUUUUAGUAGAUAAACAAGGGACUCUAGCUAUUUAGAGCAGU
Molecule: non-coding RNA, 693 nt
Organism: Hydra vulgaris (swiftwater hydra)
Lineage: Eukaryota; Metazoa; Cnidaria; Hydrozoa; Anthoathecata; Hydridae
Source: RefSeq, a predicted model, not a curated record